This 240-nucleotide unclassified non-coding RNA is filed under the name soil metagenome. RNAcentral describes it as "partial contains 5.8S ribosomal RNA, internal transcribed spacer 2, and large subunit ribosomal RNA". The record is from RNAcentral.
AACGCACGAGACCUGCGGACCUGCGGAGGGAUCAUUACCGAGUGCGGGCCCUCGCGGCCCAACCUCCCACCCUUGUCUCUAUACACCUGUUGCUUUGGCGGGCCCACCGGGGCCACCUGGUCGCCGGGGGACGUCGUCUCCGGGCCCGCGCCCGCCGAAGCGCUCUGUGAACCCUGAUGAAGAUGGGCUGUCUGAGUACUAUGAAAAUUGUCAAAACUUUUAACAACGGAUCUCUAGAUC